RNAcentral lists this ribosomal RNA (911 nucleotides) under Reyranella sp. Its description in RNAcentral is "partial 23S ribosomal RNA". It matches the Rfam family "Bacterial large subunit ribosomal RNA", at positions 2006 to 2925 of the family's 2925-position model. Lineage: Bacteria; Pseudomonadati; Pseudomonadota; Alphaproteobacteria; Hyphomicrobiales; Reyranellaceae. The record is from RNAcentral.
GACUUCCCCGCUGUCUCCAACACCAGCUCGGCGAAAUUGAAUUCCCCGUGAAGAUGCGGGGUACCCGCAGUUAGACGGAAAGACCCCGUGCACCUUUACUACAACUUUGCAGUGGCAUUAGAGAAUGGAUGUGUAGGAUAGGCGGGAGCCUUUGAAGCAUUGGCGCUAGCUAGUGUGGAGGCAACCUUGAAAUACCGCCCUUUUGUUCUUUGAUGUCUAACCGCGGUCGGUUAUCCCGAUCCGGGACCCUGCAUGGUGGGUAGUUUGACUGGGGCGGUCGCCUCCCAAAGAGUAACGGAGGCGCGCGAUGGUGGGCUCAAGCUGGUCGGAAAUCAGCUGCUGAGUGCAAUGGCACAAGCCCGCCUGACUGCGAGACUGACAAGUCGAGCAGGGACGAAAGUCGGCCAUAGUGAUCCGGUGGUUCCGCGUGAGUGGGCCAUCGCUCAACGGAUAAAAGGUACGCCGGGGAUAACAGGCUGAUACCACCCAAGCGUCCACAGCGACGGUGGUGUUUGGCACCUCGAUGUCGACUCAUCACAUCCUGGGGCUGGAGCAGGUCCCAAGGGUUCGGCUGUUCGCCGAUUAAAGUGGUACGUGAGUUGGGUUCAAAACGUCGUGAGACAGUUUGGUCCCUAUCUGCUGUGGGUGUUCGAGACUUGAGAGGAGCCGUCCUUAGUACGAGAGGACCGGGAUGGACUUACCUCUGGUGUACCGGUUGUGACGCCAGUCGCAGCGCCGGGUAGCUAUGUAGUGAAGGGAUAAACGCUGAAAGCAUCUAAGCGUGAAACCCGCCUCAAAACUAGGUCUCGCUGAGAGUCGUGGUAGACCACCACGUUGAUAGGCCGCGUGUGCAAGUGCAGUGAUGCAUUCAGCUUAGCGGUACUAAUAGCUCGAUCGGCUUGAUUCUCAUU